Molecule: ribosomal RNA, 404 nt
Filed under: Actinomycetes bacterium
Lineage: Bacteria; Bacillati; Actinomycetota; Actinomycetes
Description: Actinobacteria bacterium partial 16S ribosomal RNA
Rfam family: Bacterial small subunit ribosomal RNA
Source: RNAcentral
UGGGGAAUAUUGGACAAUGGGCGCAAGCCUGAUCCAGCCAUGCCGCGUGAGUGAUGAAGGCCCUAGGGUUGUAAAGCUCUUUCACCGGUGAAGAUAAUGACGGUAACCGGAGAAGAAGCCCCGGCUAACUUCGUGCCAGCAGCCGCGGUAAUACGAAGGGGGCUAGCGUUGUUCGGAUUUACUGGGCGUAAAGCGCACGUAGGCGGACUAUUAAGUCAGGGGUGAAAUCCCGGGGCUCAACCCCGGAACUGCCUUUGAUACUGGUAGUCUUGAGUUCGAGAGAGGUGAGUGGAAUUUCGAGUGUAGAGGUGAAAUUCGUAGAUAUUCGGAGGAACACCAGUGGCGAAGGCGGCUCACUGGCUCGAUACUGACGCUGAGGUGCGAAAGCGUGGGGAGCAAACAGG